GGUGAGAUGGCCGAGUUGGUUAUGGCGCCAGGUUAAGGUCCUGGUCACGAAAGUGGCGUGGGUGUAAGUUGCUACAUUGUAACAUAUUAAUUUCAUUUACUAAUAUGUUCGUUGUAGUCGAGUCCCACUCUCAUCA
This 136-nucleotide transfer RNA is filed under the name Pyrenophora teres f. teres 0-1. RNAcentral's name for it is "tRNA-Leu (AAG) (tRNA-Leu-AAG-2-1)". It matches the Rfam family "tRNA". From Rfam's summary of the family: Transfer RNA (tRNA) molecules are approximately 80 nucleotides in length. Their secondary structure includes four short double-helical elements and three loops (D, anti-codon, and T loops). The record is from RNAcentral. Lineage: Eukaryota; Fungi; Ascomycota; Dothideomycetes; Pleosporales; Pleosporaceae.